GAUGAACGCUGGCGGCGUGCUUAACACAUGCAAGUCGAACGGAACGGCCAGUGCUUGCACUGGUACUCGAGUGGCGAACGGGUGAGUAGCACGUGGGUGCUCUGCCCUGUACUUCGGGAUAAGCUUGGGAAACUGGGUCUCAUACCGGAUAGGACAACUUUUUGUUUAUUGUUGUGGCAAGCUUUUGCGGUAUGGGUUGAGCUCGCGGCCUAUCAGCUUGUUGGUGGGGUAAUGGCCUACCAAGGCGUCGACGGAUAGCCGGCCGGAGAGGGUGGACGGCCACAAGGGGACUGAGAAACGGCACAGAGUCCUGCGGGAGGCAGGAGGGGGGAAUAGUGCAUAAUGGGCGCAAGGCGGAUGCAGCAACGCGGCGUGGGGGAUGAAGGCUGACGGGUUGUAAACUCCUAUCGCUAUUGACGAAGCUUUUUUGUGACGGUACCUGGAGAAGAAGCACCGGCUAACUACGUG
RNAcentral lists this ribosomal RNA (468 nucleotides) under uncultured bacterium. RNAcentral describes it as "partial 16S ribosomal RNA". It matches the Rfam family "Bacterial small subunit ribosomal RNA", at positions 28 to 507 of the family's 1533-position model. The record is from RNAcentral.